AAGGUAUCAAAAAAAACGAAAUUCAAAGUGCAGCUCGCCAAUUUUUUGCCUUUUACGCAAAUUAUAAUUAAUCAACUACUGGGAGCGCAUACAAUACAUAAAUGCAAGCAAUUAUACAGUAAAAAGAGAAAAAUAACCAUAACAUUUUUCCAACCAAGCGUAUUGAAUUUCAUUUGGCCAAUGCGUAAUUGCCAACGCGUGUCCAACUUUUUACCAAGGCUGCCAACUUUCGGAUUAAGAUACAUACUCUCACUUUGACUAAACUAAAAGCAACCGGAAGUAACUGGCUUCAAAGCCACGCGCCAACUGGCGUCCAUUCAGUUUUCAGAUUGGCAGCACUGCAUUUUCAGGGUGACCAUACAUAUGCGUAUA
Drosophila montana is the source of this 372-nucleotide long non-coding RNA. RefSeq lists it as uncharacterized. The transcript is spliced from 3 exons. The record is from RefSeq and is a predicted model, not a curated record. Lineage: Eukaryota; Metazoa; Arthropoda; Insecta; Diptera; Drosophilidae.